GGGGGAUCUUGGUCAAUGGGGGAAACCCUGAACCAGCGACGCCGCGUGAGGGAAGAAGGUCCUUGGAUCGUAAACCUCUUUUGCCAGGGAAGAAGGGUGGCGACAUCUUGACGGUACCUGGCGAAUAAGCCCCGGCUAACUACGUGCCAGCAGCCGCGGUAAUACGUAGGGGGCGAGCGUUGUCCGGAUUUACUGGGCGUAAAGAGCGCGUAGGCGGUCUGAAGAGUCGGCUGUGAAAUCUCUGGGCCCAACCCAGAGGGGUCGGCCGAGACCUUUGGACUAGAGGGUGGUAGAGGAAGGUGGAAUUCCGGGUGUAGUGGUGAAAUGCGUAGAGAUCCGGAGGAACACCAGUGGCGAAGGCGGCCUUCUGGGCCAUACCUGACGCUGAGGCGCGAAAGCGUGGGGAGCGAACCGAAUUAGAUACUCGGGUAGUCCACGCCCUAAACGAUGGACGCUAGGUGUCGGGGGUAUCGACCCCUCCGGUGCCCGAGCGAACGCAGUAAGCGUCCCGCCUGGGGAGUACGGCCGCAAGGCU
Molecule: ribosomal RNA, 535 nt
Filed under: uncultured bacterium
Lineage: Bacteria
Description: bacterial SSU rRNA
Rfam family: Bacterial small subunit ribosomal RNA
Source: RNAcentral